Molecule: non-coding RNA, 1684 nt
Organism: Cyprinodon variegatus (sheepshead minnow)
Lineage: Eukaryota; Metazoa; Chordata; Actinopteri; Cyprinodontiformes; Cyprinodontidae
Source: Ensembl
GCCCAACAGCUAGCCUCUCAACCUAAACUCAAAAAUUUUAUAUACAUAAACCCCUAUAGACUAACCCAACAAAUCAAAUCAUUUUUCCACCUAAGUAUGUGCGACAGAAAAGGAAAACACGAGCGCGAUAGAAAAAGUACCGCAAGGGAAAGCUGAAAGAGAAGUGAAAGAAUUCAGUAAAGCACAAAAAAGCAGAGCCUAAUACUCGUACCUUUUGCAUCAUGAAUUAGCAAGUCCCCCCAAGCAAAAAGGUUUUUAGUUUGACACCCCGAAACUUGACGAGCUACUCCAAGGCAGCCUAAUAAUAGGGCAAACCCGUCUCUGUGGCAAAAGAGUGGGAAGAACUUUGAGUAGAGGUGACAGACCUACCGAGUCGAGUUAUAGCUGGUUGCCUGGAAAAUAAAUAGAAGUUUAGCCUUUUACCUUCUCCUAUCAACCCUGGCCUGCCCUAAGCCCAGAAAGCGAGAAUGCUAAAAGAGUUAUUCGAAGGGGGUACAGCCCCUUUGAAAAAAGAUACAACUUUAACAGGUGGAUUCCAAACAAAUUUUUAAAGGUAAAUAUUUUGGUGGGCCUAAAAGCAGCCAUCCUAAAAGAAAGCGUUAAAGCUCAAAUAUACAAACUACCCUUUAUCCCGUUAAUACUUUGCAUUCCCCUUACCUUACCAAGCCAUCCUAUCCCCAAUAGGAAAGAUCAUGCUAAUAUGAGUAAUAAGAGAAUAUGAUUCUCUCCAAGCACAUGUGUAAAUCGGAACGGACCCACCCCCGAGAAUUAACGGACCUAACCCAAGAAGGAACUAGAGUAAAAACUGACAACAAGAAAAACCUCUACAACUUUAACCGUUAACCCUACACUGGUGUGCCACCCAGGAAAGACUAAAAAGAGAAGAAGGAACUCGGCAAAUUAUGCUCAAGCCUCGCCUGUUUACCAAAAACAUCGCCUCUCGACAACUACAUAUGAGAGGUCCCGCCUGCCCUGUGACUAAUGUUUAACGGCCGCGGUAUCUUGACCGUGCAAAGGUAGCGCAAUCACUUGUCUUUUAAAUGAAGACCUGUAUGAAUGGCUAAACGAGGGCUUAACUGUCUCCUUCUCUAGGUCAAUGAAAUUGAUCUCCCCGUGCAGAAGCGGGGAUACCAACAUAAGACGAGAAGACCCUAUGGAGCUUUAGACACAAUGGCAGAUCAUGUUAAGAACCCUAUACCAAAAGGUAAAACCCAUUGAAACCUGCCCUGAUGUCUUUGGUUGGGGCGACCGCGGGGCACCACAAAACCCCCGAGUGGAGCAAGAGUACUACACUCUCAAACCCAAGAGCCACAGCUCUAAGCAACAGAAUUUCUGACCUUACAGAUCCGGCACAGCCGAUUAACGGACAGAGUUACCCUAGGGAUAACAGCGCAAUCCCCUUUUAGAGCCCAUAUCGACAAGGGGGUUUACGACCUCGAUGUUGGAUCAGGACAUCCUAAUGGUGCAGCCGCUAUUAAGGGUUCGUUUGUUCAACGAUUAAAGUCCUACGUGAUCUGAGUUCAGACCGGAGUAAUCCAGGUCAGUUUCUAUCUAUGAAGCGUUCUUUUCUAGUACGAAAGGACCGAGAAGAAGAGGCCCCUGCCCCAAGCACGCCUCCCCCUAACCUGAUGACACCAACUAAAUCAGAUAAAAGGGUACCCUCCCCCGCUAAAGAUAAUAGCCU